Molecule: ribosomal RNA, 2904 nt
Filed under: Escherichia coli UMEA 3336-1
Lineage: Bacteria; Pseudomonadati; Pseudomonadota; Gammaproteobacteria; Enterobacterales; Enterobacteriaceae
Description: bacterial LSU rRNA
Rfam family: Bacterial large subunit ribosomal RNA
Source: RNAcentral
UUAAGCGACUAAGCGUACACGGUGGAUGCCCUGGCAGUCAGAGGCGAUGAAGGACGUGCUAAUCUGCGAUAAGCGUCGGUAAGGUGAUAUGAACCGUUAUAACCGGCGAUUUCCGAAUGGGGAAACCCAGUGUGAUUCGUCACACUAUCAUUAACUGAAUCCAUAGGUUAAUGAGGCGAACCGGGGGAACUGAAACAUCUAAGUACCCCGAGGAAAAGAAAUCAACCGAGAUUCCCCCAGUAGCGGCGAGCGAACGGGGAGCAGCCCAGAGCCUGAAUCAGUGUGUGUGUUAGUGGAAGCGUCUGGAAAGGCGUGCGAUACAGGGUGACAGCCCCGUACACAAAAAUGCACAUAUUGUGAGCUCGAUGAGUAGGGCGGGACACGUGGUAUCCUGUCUGAAUAUGGGGGGACCAUCCUCCAAGGCUAAAUACUCCUGACUGACCGAUAGUGAACCAGUACCGUGAGGGAAAGGCGAAAAGAACCCCGGCGAGGGGAGUGAAAAAGAACCUGAAACCGUGUACGUACAAGCAGUGGGAGCACGCUUAGGCGUGUGACUGCGUACCUUUUGUAUAAUGGGUCAGCGACUUAUAUUCUGUAGCAAGGUUAACCGAAUAGGGGAGCCGAAGGGAAACCGAGUCUUAACUGGGCGUUAAGUUGCAGGGUAUAGACCCGAAACCCGGUGAUCUAGCCAUGGGCAGGUUGAAGGUUGGGUAACACUAACUGGAGGACCGAACCGACUAAUGUUGAAAAAUUAGCGGAUGACUUGUGGCUGGGGGGGAAAGGCCAAUCAAACCGGGAGAUAGCUGGUUCUCCCCGAAAGCUAUUUAGGUAGCGCCUCGUGAAUUCAUCUCCGGGGGUAGAGCACUGUUUCGGCAAGGGGGUCAUCCCGACUUACCAACCCGAUGCAAACUGCGAAUACCGGAGAAUGUUAUCACGGGAGACACACGGCGGGUGCUAACGUCCGUCGUGAAGAGGGAAACAACCCAGACCGCCAGCUAAGGUCCCAAAGUCAUGGUUAAGUGGGAAACGAUGUGGGAAGGCCCAGACAGCCAGGAUGUUGGCUUAGAAGCAGCCAUCAUUUAAAGAAAGCGUAAUAGCUCACUGGUCGAGUCGGCCUGCGCGGAAGAUGUAACGGGGCUAAACCAUGCACCGAAGCUGCGGCAGCGACGCUUAUGCGUUGUUGGGUAGGGGAGCGUUCUGUAAGCCUGCGAAGGUGUGCUGUGAGGCAUGCUGGAGGUAUCAGAAGUGCGAAUGCUGACAUAAGUAACGAUAAAGCGGGUGAAAAGCCCGCUCGCCGGAAGACCAAGGGUUCCUGUCCAACGUUAAUCGGGGCAGGGUGAGUCGACCCCUAAGGCGAGGCCGAAAGGCGUAGUCGAUGGGAAACAGGUUAAUAUUCCUGUACUUGGUGUUACUGCGAAGGGGGGACGGAGAAGGCUAUGUUGGCCGGGCGACGGUUGUCCCGGUUUAAGCGUGUAGGCUGGUUUUCCAGGCAAAUCCGGAAAAUCAAGGCUGAGGCGUGAUGACGAGGCACUACGGUGCUGAAGCAACAAAUGCCCUGCUUCCAGGAAAAGCCUCUAAGCAUCAGGUAACAUCAAAUCGUACCCCAAACCGACACAGGUGGUCAGGUAGAGAAUACCAAGGCGCUUGAGAGAACUCGGGUGAAGGAACUAGGCAAAAUGGUGCCGUAACUUCGGGAGAAGGCACGCUGAUAUGUAGGUGAAGUCCCUCGCGGAUGGAGCUGAAAUCAGUCGAAGAUACCAGCUGGCUGCAACUGUUUAUUAAAAACACAGCACUGUGCAAACACGAAAGUGGACGUAUACGGUGUGACGCCUGCCCGGUGCCGGAAGGUUAAUUGAUGGGGUUAGCGCAAGCGCGAAGCUCUUGAUCGAAGCCCCGGUAAACGGCGGCCGUAACUAUAACGGUCCUAAGGUAGCGAAAUUCCUUGUCGGGUAAGUUCCGACCUGCACGAAUGGCGUAAUGAUGGCCAGGCUGUCUCCACCCGAGACUCAGUGAAAUUGAACUCGCUGUGAAGAUGCAGUGUACCCGCGGCAAGACGGAAAGACCCCGUGAACCUUUACUAUAGCUUGACACUGAACAUUGAGCCUUGAUGUGUAGGAUAGGUGGGAGGCUUUGAAGUGUGGACGCCAGUCUGCAUGGAGCCGACCUUGAAAUACCACCCUUUAAUGUUUGAUGUUCUAACGUUGACCCGUAAUCCGGGUUGCGGACAGUGUCUGGUGGGUAGUUUGACUGGGGCGGUCUCCUCCUAAAGAGUAACGGAGGAGCACGAAGGUUGGCUAAUCCUGGUCGGACAUCAGGAGGUUAGUGCAAUGGCAUAAGCCAGCUUGACUGCGAGCGUGACGGCGCGAGCAGGUGCGAAAGCAGGUCAUAGUGAUCCGGUGGUUCUGAAUGGAAGGGCCAUCGCUCAACGGAUAAAAGGUACUCCGGGGAUAACAGGCUGAUACCGCCCAAGAGUUCAUAUCGACGGCGGUGUUUGGCACCUCGAUGUCGGCUCAUCACAUCCUGGGGCUGAAGUAGGUCCCAAGGGUAUGGCUGUUCGCCAUUUAAAGUGGUACGCGAGCUGGGUUUAGAACGUCGUGAGACAGUUCGGUCCCUAUCUGCCGUGGGCGCUGGAGAAUUGAGGGGGGCUGCUCCUAGUACGAGAGGACCGGAGUGGACGCAUCACUGGUGUUCGGGUUGUCAUGCCAAUGGCACUGCCCGGUAGCUAAAUGCGGAAGAGAUAAGUGCUGAAAGCAUCUAAGCACGAAACUUGCCCCGAGAUGAGUUCUCCCUGACUCCUUGAGAGUCCUGAAGGAACGUUGAAGACGACGACGUUGAUAGGCCGGGUGUGUAAGCGCAGCGAUGCGUUGAGCUAACCGGUACUAAUGAACCGUGAGGCUUAACCUU